CCCACUUACCCAUAACUCCACUCCCUUGCUUACUUCCUCCUAGGCCCGCCUCCUAACCCCUGUCAAGGCCUUUUUCCGCUUAGCUGCACUUGGCUACAUGGGGCUACAUGACAGGUGUAUAGUCGCCAUUUGGGCAGUCGGAAUCCAGGACAACCACCCCAUAACCCAACCCAAUAACGCACAUACUAGAGGAUAUGGGGAAAUAUGUCCACAGCUUUAUUUAGCAAACAAUAAUAAUAACAAUAAUAAUAAUAAUAAUAACUUAACAAGUAAACAUGGGUCAUUGCCCCCCAUACUCCGCCCUCGCAUCCUAUUCCUUCCAUUAACAUAUAAAGGGCAAUGACCCCCAUAUAAAUAAACAUAUAUAUAUAACAUACAUCAACAUUAUUCCAAUCGAUGUAAAGUGCCAACCAUCCAUUAACCACGGCAGGGGUAUACCCGGAUACCCCUACCCCACCAGGUUCUGAGCCACCGACAGGACUCGAAACCUAUCAACCACCAAUGACCACCACUUGUUUGUCUUCCAUUACGUUCAUCCUGGGGAGCCUAUUUCCUCUCCUUCAGCUCCCCGUCCCGCCGCUGUGAAAAAACGGGACAAAACCACACAUAACAAAACAGGGAGGGUGGGAGGGACAAACUUAACCAGGUAGGAAGUUAAAAUGAAUUAACUAAAAUGGCUGCCCAUUUAAAUAACCAAACCCACUUACCCAUAACUCCACUCCCUUGCUUACUUCCUCCUAGGCCCGCCUCCUAACCCCUGUCAAGGCCUUUUUCCGCUUAGCUGCGCUUGGCUACAUGGGGCUACAUGACAGGUGUAUAGUCGCCAUUUUGGGCAGUCGGAAUCCAGGACAACCACCCCAUAACCCAACCCAAUAACGCACAUACUAGAGGAUAUGGGGAAAUAUGUCCACAGCUUUAUUUAGCAAACAAU
Non-coding RNA from Pelobates cultripes (western spadefoot toad), 931 nucleotides. Lineage: Eukaryota; Metazoa; Chordata; Amphibia; Anura; Pelobatidae. The record is from the annotation of a GenBank genome assembly.